GGGGGCGCCCGGUUUUGACAGCAUAGGUCUUUGAAAGUGUAAGCAUGUACUGCGUUGCGUAAUUAGCAGUUUAAUCUGAAUACGAAAACCAUAAAUGGCAAUACUCAGUAUGCCAUGGCUGCCUAAUCAGUGAUUAAGUAGUCAUUAGGGCCGCCGGGCCGGUUCGCUUGUUUCCACGCCCCGCCGCCGACUCAAAACAAAACAAGAUGCUGCAACAGCAGGCUGUGCCUGUUGCUUAAGACUAUCCAGCUAAGGAAAUAAUCGGUUGCCGGUUUCUCCGAAGGAGUCCUUCGGACCAGUUGUUUCCCGACAAAUCAAAACAGGAUAAACAUGUAGAAAGCUUUUGAUGAAUAUGUUUGGACAGGAGUUCGAUUCUCCUCGCCUCCACGC
RNAcentral lists this transfer-messenger RNA (390 nucleotides) under Chitinophagaceae. RNAcentral's name for it is "JJ008 sp016720745 Standard tmRNA". It matches the Rfam family "transfer-messenger RNA". From Rfam's summary of the family: Bacterial tmRNA, also known as 10Sa RNA or SsrA, is named for its dual tRNA and mRNA-like properties. Its role is to liberate the mRNA from a stalled ribosome. Lineage: Bacteria; Pseudomonadati; Bacteroidota; Chitinophagia; Chitinophagales. RNAcentral also lists the same sequence under 1 other name. The record is from RNAcentral.